This 439-nucleotide ribosomal RNA is filed under the name uncultured bacterium. Its description in RNAcentral is "partial 16S ribosomal RNA". It matches the Rfam family "Bacterial small subunit ribosomal RNA", at positions 339 to 795 of the family's 1533-position model. The record is from RNAcentral.
CUACGGGUGGCUGCAGUAACGAAUCUUCCGCAAUGUGCGAAAGCUUGACGGAGCAAUGCCGCGUGCAGGAUGAAGCCCCUCGGGGUGUAAACUGCUGUCAGGGGCUACCAAGAUCUGAGGAGCCCCAGAGGAAGGGCCGGCUAACUUCGUGCCAGCAGCCGCGGUAAUACGAAGGGCCCGAGCGUUAAGCGGAAUCACUGGGCUUAAAGGGUGCGUAGGCGGACACGUCAGUGCUUUGUGAAAUCCCACGGCUCAACCGUGGAAGUGCUUGGCAUACUGCGUGUCUUGAGGUCGGUAGAGGUUGCCGGAACUGUAGGUGUAGCGGUGAAAUGCGUAGAUAUCUACAGGAACACCCAUGGCGAAGGCAGGCAACUGGACCGAUUCUGACGCUGAGGCACGAAAGCGUGGGGAGCAAACAGGAUUAGAUACCCGUGUAGUC